Molecule: non-coding RNA, 127 nt
Filed under: Caballeronia calidae
Lineage: Bacteria; Pseudomonadati; Pseudomonadota; Betaproteobacteria; Burkholderiales; Burkholderiaceae
Source: RNAcentral
AUAGAAUGGCAAGCUUGCAGUGCGAGGAAGCCGGUGCAAAUCCGGCACGGUCGCGCCACUGUAUGCGGUUCGUGAGCUUAAAGGCGCUCUGCCGCGAGUCAGACCCCGCUGCAUGCUCUUCAUCAAU